GGGGCUGUGGUGUAGCUUGGACUAGCAUUUAAGGUUUGGGACCUUACGACCCCAGUUCAAAUCUGGGCAGCCCCA
This 75-nucleotide transfer RNA is filed under the name Candidatus Nanoarchaeia archaeon. RNAcentral describes it as "tRNA-Pro". It matches the Rfam family "tRNA". Rfam says of the family: Transfer RNA (tRNA) molecules are approximately 80 nucleotides in length. Their secondary structure includes four short double-helical elements and three loops (D, anti-codon, and T loops). Further hydrogen bonds mediate the characteristic L-shaped molecular structure. tRNAs have two regions of fundamental functional importance: the anti-codon, which is responsible for specific mRNA codon recognition, and the 3' end, to which the tRNAs corresponding amino acid is attached (by aminoacyl-tRNA synthetases). tRNAs cope with the degeneracy of the genetic code in two manners: having more than one tRNA (with a specific anti-codon) for a particular amino acid; and 'wobble' base-pairing, i.e. permitting non-standard base-pairing at the 3rd anti-codon position. The record is from RNAcentral. Lineage: Archaea; Nanobdellati; Nanobdellota; Candidatus Nanoarchaeia.